This 253-nucleotide ribosomal RNA is filed under the name uncultured bacterium. RNAcentral describes it as "partial 16S ribosomal RNA". It matches the Rfam family "Bacterial small subunit ribosomal RNA", at positions 524 to 776 of the family's 1533-position model. The record is from RNAcentral.
GACAGAGGGUGCAAACGUUGCUCGGAAUUACUGGGCGUAAAGCGCGUGUAGGCGGUCUGCUAAGUUGGAUGUGAAAACUCUGGGCUUAACCCAGAGCCUGCAUUCAAUACUGACAGGCUAGAGUUCUGGAGGGGAUAGCGGAAUUCCUGGUGUAGCGGUGAAAUGCGUAGAUAUCAGGAGGAACACCGGUGGCGAAGGCGGCUAUCUGGACAGAGUCUGACGCUGAGGCGCGAAAGCUAGGGGAGCAAACAGG